RNA transcript from Syngnathoides biaculeatus (alligator pipefish), 6362 nucleotides. RefSeq lists it as uncharacterized. Lineage: Eukaryota; Metazoa; Chordata; Actinopteri; Syngnathiformes; Syngnathidae. The record is from RefSeq and is a predicted model, not a curated record. The transcript is spliced from 4 exons.
ACUUACAUCAACACGGAUGCACACAACAUGGCAGAGAUAUCAUAUUUCAGUCCAAUGGGCCGGUCGUCAUCAGAGACGGCUUCUCUACAUACAGUCAUGGAAGUUGAUUGCAAUGCGAUGACUCACACUUUGAUUUAAUACUGAGGGAACUUUCGCUUGCUUCGGCGCAGCUGAAAAAUAUUCAAAUUCAAUUAACUCCCAUCUGUGAACAAUAGUACGUACCUUUUUUUUUCCUUAAGGGAAAAGAGAGGUGCCAAUUUGAAAGGAGUAUUUGUGUCCGUAAGUGGAUGACACUCACGGCAAAUCCAGUAAAUGGGGCACGGUGUCUAAUGGAAAUCCGGAGGAGAGGAAAAGUGAAAGAAAAUGGUGAUACAUCAGAAUCUCACAGGCAUGGACAUUAUCAGACAUACAGAAUGUUUUCUUAUGGCAUUUUUAUUUAACAGUCAGCAUAUCAUAAACAUAGCUAUUUGAUGUUUAGGAGUAACUUGAUUUACCCAUUGAUACCCACUUCACACAAAUUGACAUUUUCCUUGCAUUUAAGAUUGUGAAAACAUUGUUGUUUGUUGGUUGGUUGGUUGGUUGAUUUGUUAGCAAGCAAAACACAGCCAAUGUCAGCGUAACUUUGUGGUUCACGAGGAGCUUGUUUUGGUGCACAUCCAGAUGAGAAUACGAAUACAGAGAUUUAUUUUGUCUGUUUUACUCCUGACAAUGGUGGCGUUCCAUUUGGCUGUUACCAACGUCUUACAUCAUUCCUCAUGAAAAAUAGAGUUUUGCUAACUCACAAAUAGGCUGGGAAAAAAAGAACAAUAUAGUGUUCAAAUGUUUUUCAGCUUGUAAUGUAAGCACCUCUGCACAUAUGAAAAUAGCCCAAUUUUCUUUUCAUAAUCUUUUUUUAAGUAAACUUUUAUAAUACCCUACAGGAAGAGUAGUUGUGAUUCUCUGUUUAAAAACAAAGGCAUUUAUCAGGAGUGUCUGGCUCCGAAGGGGUUGGGGGCGACCAUAUUAUAGCCCCAGUGCCUGCUCGGGGAGGCGGGGGAGGAAAUAGAUGGUUCUAGAUAUAAUAGUGGCGGCCCCUGGGUGGUACUCCUGAGAGGAGAUGAGAGUUGAGGUGUGAGCUUGCAGUAAGAUUACAUUUUCCCUCGUUUUUAAUGGAUACGUGCGACUCUAUCCCCUUAUUUCACUCCCACUAUUACGCUUCUGUUUAGCGUUUUUCCAUUUUUCACUCUGCCCUCACGCGCAUGUACUGGAAAUGCUCAGACACAUUUUGAAAUCGUACAAACGCAUGUACACGCGCAUGCACACACAUACACAGACACAUUUCUGUCUGCAUCCUCCCUCACUUGAUCCUUACACCUACGUGCUACAGAUGGUUUCAUUUUAUAAGAGAUAAAACCACAUUUGGUGGAACUGAUUAAACAGAGGGAACAACAUCCCCAUCUGCCAUUUAUUCCAAUCUGAAAUUGCUUGGGCAGAUGCUGACAUCUUUGGAGAUGAUUGAUUCACCCCGUCUGGCCAGAGAGGGCUUGCGUCCUCCCAGGGGCUGCAGCUUCCCGCUGCCCUGCCACGGCUUCGCCUGUGAUGGAGCUGCCGGCCCCACCCCGCGUCUUUCCUCCCCCCCACCGACAAAAGUCCCUUCUUUCCUCCCUCUGAGUAGCUGUCGCAAUCAUUAGAGCCGCUGAUUGGGCUUGGGCAGGUGAUCUCUACACACUCGAAUCACGAGGCCAAUACAUGCCAAAUCGUUCCCUCUCUACUGGUGUGUGACUAUGAUGGUGACAGCAUGAAUGGGCGAUCAAGGAUUUGCUUGUGAUUCUAUUAAAUGUCACAUAAAUCAUGCUGGGUUCCGUUUUUUCCCCCUUUUGUUGUAGUCCUGCUGCAUGAUUUCACUUUUUUUGUCACAGAUCAUGUUCAGUACAGAAGCAUUGUUGCAGUACAGUAUUGGAUGGAUACAGAAGCAAAUCUUUUAAAAGUAGUCUGCUUUGUGUCCAUGCCACCAUUUGUUGGUAUUGUCACCCUUUACUACAAAUAAAAAUGGAUUUGUUCAAAGGCCUCACCUCCACCAUGUACACUAACCCCCCCCACAACACCUCCCAAUGAACAGUUCUCCAUUCAGUUGAGUUGCCAGCCACUAUAUGAGGAAAUACUGUAUAUGGAUGGAUAUAGGUAUCAAUACAGCUGGAGAGAAAGAUACCGUAAAUGAAAUAUAUAAUAAUUAUACAAUAAAUAUAUUUAUUUAAAUUACAUUGAAGGUACAAAAUGUUGUUCUAAGGUAAAGUUCAAAUAAAGGCUUCCUAUCCAAUAAAUAGCUUCCCCCAAAGAAAGAAAAAAAACUUUGAAUACCUUGAAGCUGGAAAAGUGUGAUACAAGUGAAAGUCCAAAGCACAUUUCAGUUUUAGAGUACAGUGACAAGUUAGUAAAACAUGAGUUGAAGGCAUUUGUUGUUUUACAAAGUGCUCCUUAUUAUCAUCACAUUAAUGAAGUUUAAGAAUCACGAAUCAACGGUGGUCUUGACGGGUCUCAACAGAAAAUCCCGAGUAUAGCCUGUCCAACACCGAGACAAGACCAAGACUUUUGGAAGUAGAGUCCAAGACAGGACCCAGACCUUCAAAAAUGUGGUCGCAAGACUGGUCUCGAGACCAGUGUUCCUACACUAGUAAAUCGUAAACUGAACCAAGACCAUGAUGAACGGCCAAUCCAACUAACUCCGGAUGUCAUUCAAUAAGCCGCACACUUUAAGACACAUAUCGAAAAAUACAACAGUGUGGUGACAUGGCUACAGGAAACUACAUUAAAAACUAUAAUUUUUAAAUCAUCUUUUAUUCUUUUAGGUUGUACACAACGCAGUCAUGUUGCGUUUCUGACAAUUUAAUCGCACACACAUCAAUACAACACAAACACGAUAAAAUAGCUAAAACAAAAUAGACGUUCAAGAACAGAGUAGUUGAGCCACAACGGCGAAUAGUCACCAAUGUUGAACCAAUGUUCCCAAACAAGCAAAUGUUCAUCCCAGCAAGUUAGUGAAAGUUCCAGCCGGUCCAAAAACGAAAGGCGGCUGGCGUCCGUGCAGUUAGUGUUCCAAACAGCGUAGUUUCCCAGAGCGUCGGUGAAGUUGUUAGAAGAAGCCUCGUUGUCUGUCUUUCUCGUCCUUAUAUGGGUAAUUCUUGAAACAUUUCAGACAUCCGUGUCACAAAGGACACAAAGAGUUCGCAUCACAUGGACCCAAGAGCAUUAGCGUAAACUGAGUCACAUCAUAAAAACUUAAAGUAUGAAAGGAAACGGUGUCACAAAGAUGCACAUUAUAACAACUUUAAAGCAUAAUGGGAAAAUAAAGAGAACAGAGAAUAAAAAUACACACACAGAUAACACAGUACACUGAUGUAUGGCACCUGAUGUAUGGAUUAGAGACAGUGGCUCUGAAGAAACAGGAAGCAGAACUAGAGGUAGCAGAAAUGAAGAUGUUGAGGUUCUCGCUCGGAGUGAGCAGGUUGGAUAGGAUUAGAAAUGAGCUCAUUAGACGGACAGCCAAAGUUGGACGUUUUGAAGACAAGGUUAGAGAGAGCAGACUUAGAUGGUUUGGACAUGUCCAGAGGCGAGAGAGUGAGUAUAUUGGUAGAAGGGUGCUGAGGAUGGAGCUGCCAGGCAAAAGAGUGAAGAGGAAGACCAAAGAAAAGGUUGAUGGAUAUUGUGAGGGAGGACAUGGGCACAGUGGCUGUUAGAGAAGAGGAUGCACGAGAUGGGCUUAGAUGGAAAAAGAUGACACGCUGUAGCGCCCCCUAACUGGACAAGCUGAAAGAAAAAGACAGAUUGGGGAGUCGUGAUGGCGGUGCAGAAGAUGAGCGAGGAGCUAUUUAUCCCAGACGGAUCAGGAGGUGUGUGACGGAGGUGUGGACGGUUGCUGCAGGUCAGUGACGUUGGCAGGCGCCAGGCAGGCCGGCCCACAUGGCUCGGGGACUGUGGGACUACAGACAGAUGGCACCUGCAUCUUGCAAACAUUUGAAGAACCCACCUGGAGUCAGCCUUAUGGUGAUGUUCUCGCGCGCACAAUUAGGCCGAUGCACGUGUACGAAUUCGGCAGCGACCCAGCGACCCCCUGCCCUGUUCAAACGCCACGCAGGCGGCCCGCAAGUCACCGGGCUCAGCGUGGCAGUUGUACAUGCUGUGCCUGGCACCCUGCAGAGGGGGAAGGAAGGAACGCAGCGGGGCCAGGCUGCCUCCAACACCUCUCCCACCGAGCCAAAGGCCCCUCUGGUGGGCUUCGGAACUGCACAACAGCCACACUGACAAAUGCUAAUGAGGACCGGGACUGAAGCAGGAUGACACGCGAGGGACGCCAUCACAGCUGGAAUAUCUGUCUCGUCUGUUGUAACAACCAACUGCACAACAAGUCUCAGGCAUUGUGAAUAUUUUCCUCUGGUUCAAUGUCCUCCAAACUGUUGAACAGCUCUCUUUGACCAGCAAUAUGGCAAGGUGAAAAUGGUGACGUCACGUGCAUGAGCUAGAUUGCAGAACAGUUUUACAAUGUCACAGAGCAAUCAAAGGGAAAUUCACCCAUUCAUUCACCAGUCCUUCGUAGUAUGGUCAUGGGCAUAAUGGAACCCCCCCCACCCGGGGAUAACUUUGGGCAAGAGCCAUGGUACCUCCUGGGCCAACCAGUAGCACGGCAAAAACAUCCAUGACCAGUCAGAUUCAGAUCUAUGGACAAUUAAGAGUAUUCAUUGAGUCCAACGUGCAUGUUUAUGGUAUGUGAGGGGAAGCCAAAGUACUCUGAGAAAAGUCGGCCAUCAGACCACAAACCCUAAAUGCUAACUAUCCCAAGGUAAACACAUAUAAAAAUGUUCUGAUCGUAUUUUCCAGACUGUGUUGAAGAAAUGUAGUCAAGUGUCCAUCUCUGGUACCUAUCGUUUUCAUUUGAUAUAAAAUAUACAAAAACGCUAUAGCGAGGAAGUACACCUGCUAAUAAAACAAUAGCAGAAGUAAGGCAGAGGCUAUAAUUGAGGGGUUGUUUUAUUUCUGCUCCAGGGCUCCCCCUAGACUUGUAAACAGCAAUUGACUUUGAAGCCGGUGCCAUAAACAACGCUCACUGAGGGGAGUAAGAACUUUCAUUCUUCCGCACCCUUGUGAAUGGUGUUAACUUUUUGAAACUGUAAUCGUUACCGUUUACGUAUAUUAAAAAGGAAACAAAACCCAGUGACAACAGAUCUGUUUUAAUGUGGGGCCGCGGUACCGGUGGGAAACUUGGGACUUGUCAGUGUAAGGCACGGAAAGCAUGCGUUUUGUGCCAUGUUAAAGAUGAGAGCGGAUGAAAAUGAGAUGAAAUGGCGUGUGGCAGCUCACUGUGGGGAGGUAAUUAGGGAAAAACAUUGAGACGCAGAGCCUGAUCUCUCCUGCUGGAGGUUAAGUGAAAUCGGAACUGCGAGUCCCAGCGUCCCGGUGGCGCAGUGAUUAGAAUUUCCUAAUGUGGGGCUAAUGGAAUGUCAGCCGGGAGCAGAACCCCGACACAGAAGCACUCAUAACAACAAGUGGUCAAAGAUCAAGACUGAUUAAAGAGACGCAGAAGAGACGCACGCAAGCUCAUCGCAAUUGAUGAAGCUGAGAACGAGAGAAACGAGAAGAUGUUGGUUCCAAAACAAUCCACUCAAAAAGGUCAAAUCAAGUUUCAGUGAAAAAAAAUGAUGGAAUUAUAGCACCAUUUGGAAUUCAACCCAACAUUUCGGGAAAAAUGUAUCUCUGAAGUUGCACACAGAUGAUGAUUAGCCUUAUCACAUUUUUUUUCAUUUUUCCCAGCAUCAUUAACAACGUGUAAAAUUCACAAACCACUUUUAUUUUCACUUUCAAAGUUCUUUAUUAUCAUGAAGUUUUGUUAUGUUAGUUUAGUUUAGUUUAGUUUGAAGCAAAUUUUACCACAACUCACCUUUUGUAACUUGCCUUCAUUCUUCUUAAUUUGUUGUUUUAUGUUGUUGUAAAUGUUCCUUUUAUUUUGCUUUUUGUUAAUCAUUACUUUAGCAACAGUUGAACUUUGGUCUUCCAUUUUUCCUUUGGGAGACGGAUUGCAAUGUAGAGGGGAAAAACAGCUUGAGUGGGAGCUUAAAAGUUCCACUGUAAAAUUGAUCUGUCCUGGAGUCAAACUUGUGACGUAAGAAAAAAUACUGCACAGGUGAUGUUUUACUUCACUUUUUAAAGUGUAACGUAAUAAAAGUGCUAAAAGUGUUUACCAUAAACAAUUAAGGAGAGCCUUUUUACUUUUUUUAAAGUUACACUGGUUAUUCAACCAUUUAAAAAAAACAUUCAAAGCCACUUUUCACAUCUUGCUCUAUUUUCAUGUGGAUUUCGGAGGGGGGGGGGGUGAUUUUAGAUUGUGCACUGUU